UUCUUUCAAGUAGUAUAAGUGUUACUGUAAAGGGGAGGAACCAUCGCACGUGUAAAGUGCAGAACCGCUGUCGGUGUACCUCGGAAUUAUGGCCACGAGCAGAUGUACAGUACCGUUCCUGAUUUUCAUGCUCUGCUUUGCUGUUUACCACUGCAGUGCGGGAUUCACAGGAGGUCCUAGAUGUGAAGACAAUACCUGCCGCCGAGAUGGUACAGGCUGCCCAAAAGGCUGCAUAUGUCCACUUGACAUGGAAGAAAAGUUUUUUGGAAGACUAUGUGAACCCGAAUAAUGAUCAAAGUGGACUUGGCGGUGUGAUCGUUAAAUAAACAAUCAAGUAU
This is a long non-coding RNA of Rhipicephalus sanguineus (brown dog tick), 338 nucleotides long. RefSeq lists it as uncharacterized. Lineage: Eukaryota; Metazoa; Arthropoda; Arachnida; Ixodida; Ixodidae. The record is from RefSeq and is a predicted model, not a curated record. The transcript is spliced from 3 exons.